Molecule: ribosomal RNA, 253 nt
Filed under: uncultured bacterium
Lineage: Bacteria
Description: partial 16S ribosomal RNA
Rfam family: Bacterial small subunit ribosomal RNA
Source: RNAcentral
UACGGAGGGGGCGAGCGUUAUUCGGAAUUAUUGGGCGUAAAGGGCGCGUAGGCGGCUUGGCAAGUCAAAGGUGAAAUCCCUCGGCUCAACUGAGGAACUGCCCUUGAAACUGCCUGGCUUGAGGCCGGGAGGGGGUAGCGGAAUUCCCAGUGUAGCGGUGAAAUGCGUAGAUAUUGGGAGGAACACCAGUGGCGAAGGCGGCUACCUGGACCGGUUCUGACGCUGAUGCGCGAAAGCGUGGGUAGCAAACAGG